CAGUAGCCGCGGUAAUACGUAGGGUGCGAGCGUUAAUCGGAAUUACUGGGCGUAAAGCGUGCGCAUGCGGUGAUGUAAGACAGAUGUGAAAUCCCCGGGCUCAACCUGGGAACUGCAUUAGUGACUGCAUCGCUGGAGUGCGGCAGAGGGGGAUGGAAUUCCGCGUGUAGCAGUGAAAUGCGUAGAUAUGCGGAGGAACACCGAUGGCGAAGGCAAUCCCCUGGGCCUGCACUGACGCUCAUGCACGAAAGCGUGGGGAGCAAACAGGAUUAGAUACCCCUGUAGUCCCUGUCUCUUAUAC
Molecule: ribosomal RNA, 301 nt
Filed under: uncultured bacterium
Lineage: Bacteria
Description: partial 16S ribosomal RNA
Rfam family: Bacterial small subunit ribosomal RNA
Source: RNAcentral